UACGGGGGGGGCAAGCGUUGUCCGGAAUCAUUGGGCGUAAAGAGCGUGUAGGCGGCUUGGUAAGUCCGCUGUGAAAGUCCAGGGCUCAACCCUGGAAUGCCGGUGGAAACUGUCAAGCUUGAGUCCGGAAGAGGCGAGUGGAAUUCCUGGUGUAGCGGUGAAAUGCGCAGAUAUCAGGAGGAACACCAAUGGCGAAGGCAGCUCGCUGGGACGGUACUGACGCUGAGACGCGAAAGCGUGGGGAGCAAACAGG
This 253-nucleotide ribosomal RNA is filed under the name uncultured bacterium. RNAcentral describes it as "partial 16S ribosomal RNA". It matches the Rfam family "Bacterial small subunit ribosomal RNA", at positions 524 to 776 of the family's 1533-position model. The record is from RNAcentral.